RNAcentral lists this RNase P RNA (346 nucleotides) under bovine gut metagenome. RNAcentral describes it as "Bacterial RNase P class A". It matches the Rfam family "Bacterial RNase P class A". From Rfam's summary of the family: Ribonuclease P (RNase P) is a ubiquitous endoribonuclease, found in archaea, bacteria and eukarya as well as chloroplasts and mitochondria. Its best characterised activity is the generation of mature 5'-ends of tRNAs by cleaving the 5'-leader elements of precursor-tRNAs. Cellular RNase Ps are ribonucleoproteins. The record is from RNAcentral.
GCAGAGUGGACGAUCGCGGCUGCAGGUCCCGAAAGGGCGCAGGUGAGGAAAGUCCGGGCUUCGUAGGGCAGGAUGCCGGUUAACGGCCGGCGGAGGCAACUCCCGGGAAAGUGCAGCAGAGAGCAGACCGCCCCGCAAGGGGUAAGGGUGAAAGGGCAGUGUAAGAGACUACCGGUCCGGUGGCAACACAGGGCGCAUUGUAAACCCCAUCCGAAGCAAGACCGAGCAGAGGACAACAGGACGGCCCGUCCACGUCCUCAGGUGGGUCGCUUGAAACACGCGGCAACGCGGGUUCUAGAUAGAUGAUCGUCUUAAAAGACAUAACCCGGCUUACAGCUCUGCUCAU